GCUGAUCUAUAUUUCUCUUAAUUGACAACAAUCCAGUCUGUUUUCUGUAGUUUUUUGCUGUUGGAUUUGAAUUUCUAACGCAGAGCAGAAAUCACGGGGAUAUCCUGACAUGGCAGAUGUAGAAAUGCGGGGAGUCCUACUUCCAUGAGCCCAUAUUAACCAACACACCAACAGCAGCACCAUGGGACGACCGCCAACUUUAUUCAAUUAUAGCAUGCGCUGACCACUCCAGCUCAAUAUACAUUGUGCAGGUCCCGGUAAAUCAAUGUGGUAUUUUUUUGGCAAUGCUACAAGAAUAGGAGAUAUGAUGUGACCACCUUUAUGCACGACUAUUGCAGCAACAUGAUGCAAAGUGG
RNAcentral lists this long non-coding RNA (356 nucleotides) under Hordeum vulgare. Its description in RNAcentral is "long non-coding RNA (HVUL_LNC006278)". Lineage: Eukaryota; Viridiplantae; Streptophyta; Magnoliopsida; Poales; Poaceae. The record is from RNAcentral.